CUCGAGGGUUUGAAACUCCAAGCUUGGCAUGACAUAGAUGUUUGUGGAAUGAAAUAAAUGAACAUUUGUGAGUUGACAUCAUCCUCCAGCUGUGUGUUUUAUCCAAGAAAUGAACAAGAUCAGAAUUUAAGUAUGUUUAUGUGUCCUGCCUCUCUGGCAAAAGAGUGAUGAGGAGGAAAUGGACAAUUAGUUAUGACAAAAGCACAAAUGACAAAAUAAAAAAUAAAUAAACUGGAC
This 237-nucleotide long non-coding RNA is filed under the name Fukomys damarensis (Damara mole-rat). Its description in RNAcentral is "lncRNA (ENSFDAG00000031872.1)". The record is from RNAcentral. Lineage: Eukaryota; Metazoa; Chordata; Mammalia; Rodentia; Bathyergidae.